CGAGGGUCCUGGGGAAGCCGCGGCUAAUGAGCGUGGAUUUCCCAUGAUCCGUAAC
RNAcentral lists this microRNA precursor (55 nucleotides) under Lingula anatina. RNAcentral describes it as "Lan-Mir-1986_pre stem-loop". Lineage: Eukaryota; Metazoa; Brachiopoda; Lingulata; Lingulida; Lingulidae. The record is from RNAcentral.